UGAGGAAUCUUGGACAAUGGGGGCAACCCUGAUCCAGCGACGCCGCGUGAAGGAUGAAGGUCUUCGGAUUGUAAACUUCUUUUGUUGGGGAAUAAAAAAUCUGUGGAAACACGGAGAUUGAAGGUACCCGAUGAAUAAGCCACGGCUAACUUCGUGCCAGCAGCCGCGGUAAUACGAAGGUGGCAAGCGUUACUCGGAAUUACUAGGCGUAAAGGGCAGGUAGGUGGUUCGGUAAGUCUGUUGUGUAAGCUCCUGGCUUAACUGGGAGAGGUCAACGGAAACUACCGGACUUGAGUAUAGGAGAGGUUACUGGAAUUCCCGGUGUAGCGGUGAAAUGCGCAGAGAUCGGGAGGAACACCAAUGGCGAAAGCAGGUAACUGGACUAUUACUGACACUAAGCUGCGAAAGCUAGGGGAGCAAACAGG
This 425-nucleotide ribosomal RNA is filed under the name uncultured bacterium. RNAcentral describes it as "bacterial SSU rRNA". It matches the Rfam family "Bacterial small subunit ribosomal RNA", at positions 355 to 776 of the family's 1533-position model. The record is from RNAcentral.